AGACGGAGGGUGCAAGCGUUAAUCGGAAUUACUGGGCGUAAAGCGCUCGUAGGCGGUUUGAUAAGUCGGAUGUGAAAUCCCCGGGCUCAACCUGGGAAUGGCAUUCGAUACUGCCUGACUAGAGUAUGGUAGAGGGAAGUGGAAUUUCCGGUGUAGCGGUGAAAUGCGUAGAUAUCGGAAGGAACACCAGUGGCGAAGGCGACUUCCUGGGCCAAUACUGACGCUGAGGUGCGAAAGCGUGGGGAGCAAACAGGAUUAGAUACCCCGGUAGUCC
Molecule: ribosomal RNA, 274 nt
Filed under: uncultured bacterium
Lineage: Bacteria
Description: partial 16S ribosomal RNA
Rfam family: Bacterial small subunit ribosomal RNA
Source: RNAcentral